AAUAGAUACCCCGGUAGUCCAUGCCGUAAACGAUGUCUACUAGCCGUUGGGGCCUUUGAGGCUUUAGUGGCGCAGCUAACGCGAUAAGUAGACCGCCUGGGGAGUACGGUCGCAAGACUAAAACUCAAAUGAAUUGACGGGGGCCCGCACAAGCGGUGGAGCAUGUGGUUUAAUUCGAUGCAACGCGAAGAACCUUACCUGGUCUUGACAUAGUAAGAACUUUCCAGAGAUGGAUUGGUGCCUUCGGGAACUUACAUACAGGUGCUGUAUGGCUGUCGUCAGCUCGUGUCGUGAGAUGUUGGGUUAAGUCCCGCAACGAGCGCAACCCUUUUCCUUAUUUGCCAGCGGGUUAAGCCGGGAACUUUAAGGAUACUGCCAGUGACAAACUGGAGGAAGGCGGGGACGACGUCAAGUCAUCAUGGCCCUUAGACCAGGGCUACAUACGUGCUACAAUGGUCGGUACAAAGGGUUGCUACCUAGCGAUAGGAUGCUAAUCUCAAAAAGCCGAUCGUAGUCCGGAUUGGAGUCUGCAACUCGACUCC
RNAcentral lists this ribosomal RNA (542 nucleotides) under uncultured bacterium. RNAcentral describes it as "bacterial SSU rRNA". It matches the Rfam family "Bacterial small subunit ribosomal RNA", at positions 777 to 1319 of the family's 1533-position model. The record is from RNAcentral.